GCUACCGGCACAGCUCAGUCGGGAGAGCACGAGGCUCUCGAUCGCAGGGUUGUGGGUUCGAGUCCUGCGCUGGGCA
Non-coding RNA from Podarcis lilfordi (Lilford's wall lizard), 76 nucleotides. Lineage: Eukaryota; Metazoa; Chordata; Lepidosauria; Squamata; Lacertidae. The record is from the annotation of a GenBank genome assembly.